GGAGGCAGCAGUGAGGAAUCUUGCUCAAUGGGCGAAAGCCUGAAGCAGCGACGCCGCGUGAAGGAUGAAGGUCUUCGGAUCGUAAACUUCUGUUAAGUGGGAAGAAAUCUCUAUUUAUAAUACAGAUAGAGGAUGACGGUACCAUUAGAGAAAGCACUGGCUAAUCUCGUGCCAGCAGCCGCGGUAAUACGAGGGGUGCAAGCGUUAUUCGGAAUUAUUGGGCGUAAAGGGUGCGUAGACGGCAUAUUAAGUCAACUGUUAAAUUCUUCGGCCUAACCGGGGUCCAGCGGUAGAAACUGAUAUGCUAGAGGAUGAGAGAGAGAAGUGGAAUUCUCGGAGUAGCGGUAAAAUGCGUAGAUCUCGAGAGGAACACCGAUGGCGAAGGCAGCUUCUUGGCUCAUUCCUGACGUUGAGGCACGAAAGCGUGGGGAGCAAACAGGAUUAGAUACCCUGGUAGUCCACGCCGUAAACGAU
This 474-nucleotide ribosomal RNA is filed under the name uncultured bacterium. RNAcentral describes it as "bacterial SSU rRNA". It matches the Rfam family "Bacterial small subunit ribosomal RNA", at positions 344 to 810 of the family's 1533-position model. The record is from RNAcentral.